UUUCGGCAAGGGGGUCAUCCCGACUUACCGACCCGAUGCAAACUGCGAAUACCGGAGAAUGUUAUCACGGGAGACACACGGCGGGUGCUAACGUCCGUCGUGAAGAGGGAAACAACCCAGACCGCCAGCUAAGGUCCCAAAGUCAUGGUUAAGUGGGAAACGAUGUGGGAAGGCCCAGACAGCCAGGAUGUUGGCUUAGAAGCAGCCAUCAUUUAAAGAAAGCGUAAUAGCUCACUGGUCGAGUCGGCCUGCGCGGAAGAUGUAACGGGGCUAAACCAUGCACCGAAGCUGCGGCAGCGACGCUUAUGCGUUGUUGGGUAGGGGAGCGUUCUGUAAGCCUGCGAAGGUGUGCUGUGAGGCAUGCUGGAGGUAUCAGAAGUGCGAAUGCUGACAUAAGUAACGAUAAAGCGGGUGAAAAGCCCGCUCGCCGGAAGACCAAGGGUUCCUGUCCAACGUUAAUCGGGGCAGGGUGAGUCGACCCCUAAGGCGAGGCCGAAAGGCGUAGUCGAUGGGAAACAGGUUAAUAUUCCUGUACUUGGUGUUACUGCGAAGGGGGGACGGAGAAGGCUAUGUUGGCCGGGCGACGGUUGUCCCGGUUUAAGCGUGUAGGCUGGUUUUCCAGGCAAAUCCGGAAAAUCAAGGCUGAGGCGUGAUGACGAGGCACUACGGUGCUGAAGCAACAAAUGCCCUGCUUCCAGGAAAAGCCUCUAAGCAUCAGGUAACAUCAAAUCGUACCCCAAACCGACACAGGUGGUCAGGUAGAGAAUACCAAGGCGCUUGAGAGAACUCGGGUGAAGGAACUAGGCAAAAUGGUGCCGUAACUUCGGGAGAAGGCACGCUGAUAUGUAGGUGAAGUCCCUUGCGGAUGGAGCUGAAAUCAGUCGAAGAUACCAGCUGGCUGCAACUGUUUAUUAAAAACACAGCACUGUGCAAACACGAAAGUGGACGUAUACGGUGUGACGCCUGCCCGGUGCCGGAAGGUUAAUUGAUGGGGUCAGCGCAAGCGAAGCUCUUGAUCGAAGCCCCGGUAAACGGCGGCCGUAACUAUAACGGUCCUAAGGUAGCGAAAUUCCUUGUCGGGUAAGUUCCGACCUGCACGAAUGGCGUAAUGAUGGCCAGGCUGUCUCCACCCGAGACUCAGUGAAAUUGAACUCGCUGUGAAGAUGCAGUGUACCCGCGGCAAGACGGAAAGACCCCGUGAACCUUUACUAUAGCUUGACACUGAACAUUGAGCCUUGAUGUGUAGGAUAGGUGGGAGGCUUUGAAGUGUGGACGCCAGUCUGCAUGGAGCCGGCCUUGAAAUACCACCCUUUAAUGUUUGAUGUUCUAACGUGGACCCGUGAUCCGGGUUGCGGACAGUGUCUGGUGGGUAGUUUGACUGGGGCGGUCUCCUCCUAAAGAGUAACGGAGGAGCACGAAGGUUGGCUAAUCCUGGUCGGACAUCAGGAGGUUAGUGCAAUGGCAUAAGCCAGCUUGACUGCGAGCGUGACGGCGCGAGCAGGUGCGAAAGCAGGUCAUAGUGAUCCGGUGGUUCUGAAUGGAAGGGCCAUCGCUCAACGGAUAAAAGGUACUCCGGGGAUAACAGGCUGAUACCGCCCAAGAGUUCAUAUCGACGGCGGUGUUUGGCACCUCGAUGUCGGCUCAUCACAUCCUGGGGCUGAAGUAGGUCCCAAGGGUAUGGCUGUUCGCCAUUUAAAGUGGUACGCGAGCUGGGUUUAGAACGUCGUGAGACAGUUCGGUCCCUAUCUGCCGUGGGCGCUGGAGAACUGAGGGGGGCUGCUCCUAGUACGAGAGGACCGGAGUGGACGCAUCACUGGUGUUCGGGUUGUCAUGCCAAUGGCACUGCCCGGUAGCUAAAUGCGGAAGAGAUAAGUGCUGAAAGCAUCUAAGCACGAAACUUGCCCCGAGAUGAGUUCUCCCUGACCCUUUAAGGGUCCUGAAGGAACGUUGAAGACGACGACGUUGAUAGGCCGGGUGUGUAAGCGCAGCGAUGCGUUGAGCUAACCGGUACUAAUGAACCGUGAGGCUUAACCUU
Molecule: ribosomal RNA, 2035 nt
Filed under: Shigella sonnei
Lineage: Bacteria; Pseudomonadati; Pseudomonadota; Gammaproteobacteria; Enterobacterales; Enterobacteriaceae
Description: partial 23S ribosomal RNA
Rfam family: Bacterial large subunit ribosomal RNA
Source: RNAcentral